Molecule: ribosomal RNA, 254 nt
Filed under: uncultured bacterium
Lineage: Bacteria
Description: partial 16S ribosomal RNA
Rfam family: Bacterial small subunit ribosomal RNA
Source: RNAcentral
CACGUAGGCACCAAGCGUUGUCCGGAUUUACUGGGCGUAAAGGGCGCGUAGGCGGUCAGCACAAGUCAGUUGUGAAAUCUCCGGGCUUAACUCGGAAAGGUCAACUGAUACUGUGCGACUAGAGUGCAGAAGGGGCAACUGGAAUUCUCGGUGUAGCGGUGAAAUGCGUAGAUAUCGAGAGGAACACCUGCGGCGAAGGCGGGUUGCUGGGCUGACACUGACGCUGAUGCGCGAAAGCCAGGGGAGCGAACGGG